This 132-nucleotide small RNA is filed under the name Klebsiella quasipneumoniae subsp. similipneumoniae. RNAcentral describes it as "RtT sRNA". It matches the Rfam family "RtT RNA". Rfam says of the family: This family represents a bacterial cis-regulatory element known as RtT RNA. The exact function of RtT is unknown although it is thought that it may be involved in changing the cellular response in relation to amino acid starvation. Lineage: Bacteria; Pseudomonadati; Pseudomonadota; Gammaproteobacteria; Enterobacterales; Enterobacteriaceae. RNAcentral also lists the same sequence under 2 other names. The record is from RNAcentral.
UAUUCUGCCCUACGGGGAAGGAUGAGAAGCUUCGACUAAGGUUCGACUCGAGCGUAGCGAGAGAACGUUGCCGAAGGCAACGGCCCGAAGGGCGAGGCGCUUUAGCGCCGAGUCAUCCUUCCCCCACCACCA